This 253-nucleotide ribosomal RNA is filed under the name uncultured bacterium. Its description in RNAcentral is "partial 16S ribosomal RNA". It matches the Rfam family "Bacterial small subunit ribosomal RNA", at positions 524 to 776 of the family's 1533-position model. The record is from RNAcentral.
GACAGAGGUGCCGAGCGUUAGGCGGAAUCACUGGGCUUAAAGCGUGUGUAGGCGGACCGUUAAGUACCUUGUGAAAUCCCACGGCUCAACCGUGGAACGGCUGGGUAUACUGGCGGUCUUGGGCCACCUAGGGGCGAGCGGAACAAGCGGUGGAGCGGUGAAAUGCGUAGAUAUCAAGCGGAACACCGGUGGCGAAGGCGGCCUUCUGGACGAUGACUGACGCUGAGACGCGAAAGCGUGGGGAGCAAACAGG